GACGUAGGGCGCGAGCGUUGUCCGGAAUUAUUGGGCGUAAAGAGCUCGUAGGCGGCUUGCUACGUCAGCUGUGAAAACCCGCAGCUCAACUUGGGGCUUGCAGCUGAUACGGGCAGGCUUGAGUUCGGUAGGGGAGAGUGGAGUUCCUGGUGUAGCGGUGAAAUGCGCAGAUAUCAGGAGGAACACCGGUGGCGAAGGCGGCAUCCUGGACCAAUUCUGACGCUGAGGAGCGAAAGCCAGGGGAGCAAACGGG
Molecule: ribosomal RNA, 253 nt
Filed under: uncultured bacterium
Lineage: Bacteria
Description: partial 16S ribosomal RNA
Rfam family: Bacterial small subunit ribosomal RNA
Source: RNAcentral